RNAcentral lists this long non-coding RNA (15105 nucleotides) under Malus domestica (apple). RNAcentral's name for it is "long non-coding RNA (MDOM_LNC004089)". Lineage: Eukaryota; Viridiplantae; Streptophyta; Magnoliopsida; Rosales; Rosaceae. The record is from RNAcentral.
UUUUUUUUUUUUUUUUGUUGGGGAGGUUUUGUGAAUGAAUAACUUUAAGAAAGAAGUGGGGAUUUAUAUAUAUACCCGGACAAGGAGAUUCCGGGGUGAGGGGUAUGGGGUUGGGUGGGUGUGGUGAGAAAUUUGCGUGGUCCAAAUUAAAUGAGUGUAUCGUGAGCGUUGAAUUCGCAGGAAUUGGGAUGGCGCACCAAUUAAAGCACAGUCGUUUUGGGGAUAAAAAGUCGUAGCACGAGUGCGCCACCGUGGCGUGACGUCACACAAUUUAGGAACAGACGGGAGAAAAAACAAAAAAAAAAGCAUAAAAAAUAAAAAAUAGUAAAAAAUGAAUGGAUGGGAUGAGAAAGGUGGCUGAUAUAUCGUAUUCCUGCCGUCGGAUGAAAGGUGACAAGGAAUAUAUUUUUAUAAUAUACUUAUUCUCAUAAUUAGAGUAGUGGAGGCCUAAUCUUUACUUCUAAGCCAACGUAAAAUAAAAUUAUUCCAAAUUAUUUAAUUUAAAAAGUUUUGGUAAAUAAAAAUAAUAUAUUCAUGUGGCUGUCGACUGAUUUGUGGUGGAGUGGGGGUACGCCUGUCCCUUUGCUGCGUUGAUAUUUUCCAAAGGUCAUUUUUUAAUUUAUCAUCUUAAUUCUCUUAAUCAUGGAAGUAAUUAGUUUUAAUUAGUUAAUCAGAGUGAUAAGGAUGCCAUUGGCUGGGGCGGUUUGCGCAGGCUCUCUCCCCAGCCAAUUAAGAAGUGGAAGGCAUCUGACUUUUUCUAUUAGAAGAAAUUAUCUAUUUAUUUGAACAAGAUAAAAUUAAUAAAUCAAGAGAUUCAAUAGACUAAUUUUUGCGUAUGUCAUACCUAGGUUUGAUUUGUUCCCAUUCUACUUGGAGCAUCUAUAUCCCCGACGCUUAUGGUCCCCAAAAUUAUAAGAAAAAGGAAAAAAUUAAAACCCUAGUUAUUCCAGAUGGCUUCUUUCUUUCUUGCAUGAUUGCUUCUACGGUUUAAUUUUGUUUUCUUCUUGGUAAGUUUACUUUGAUUCUGUUUGAGAUAAACUUAGUUAAUGUAUUCUGAUCAUGUUAUUCAAUGGGCAUGUAUUCUGGCUCUCUACAAUCACUGAAGUUGUUUGUACCCAUAUUCGUUGCCAAGCCAAAGCCGAUAUUAAUUGUCUGGCUCGUUAUAGUUUGAAUAUUGGCGAUCAAAGCGAAUGGCUUGAUUGUCCUCCGUCUUUCAUCAUCGACCUCCUCACUGACGAUCUUUACACUAUGUUUGGAUGAGGGAAAUAAACUUGGAAUUUGGAUAAAAGUCAGAAUUUAUAAAUUGACAUACACAAAUUCCCUUGUUUUGAUUUAUAACAUAGAAAUUUAGAAUUUCGCGUGGAAAAAAAAAAACUUGGAAUUUGGGGCCUCCAAUUUCCAAGUUUAAAUUCUACGUAAAUAGGUGUCAUUUCCCAAUUUCUAUGAUUGGGAGUUUAAAAUUAACAAAUUCUAUUUUCAAUUCCAUUGUUCUUUUAAGUUAACCAAACAACAAAAUUAAAAAAUUCUAGAAAAUAAAAUCAUUUCAUUUCAAUUUCCGUCAUUUUAAAAUUCCUUAGUAAUCUUAAAUUUCUUCAUCCAAGCAUGGUGAGUGAUUUGGUUAUUUUAUUUUUAAGAUUGUGGACUAUUUUGUACUACUUGCCUUUUCGAUGGGUUUGGAAGUGGUUUCAACUUCUGCUCUCUAAUGAAAUAUGUAUCGUACAUUCAAAGAAAAAAAAAAAGUACGAGACUUUGUUAUUUUGGUCUUACUCAACCAUAUGUAAGAGUUUGAGAUAUUUGGUGUGAAAACUAUCAUAAUAAGGUAGUUGUAUCGAAGUUUUUAUAUAGGUUAGGAUGGAAACUCACUCUACAUCCCAAUUAUUUUCUUCCAUGCAUGAUGUGAUAUCCAAUUUUACUAAUGACAAAUUUAAAAAUUCACACCCCUAAAACAUAGAUCCACAAUAUAAAGAAACAUUUCUUACUAAAAAUCCAACUAUCUAGUUACUAAAUCGUUAAUUAAACAAAAAAUUGUUCAAAUGCAUGAUUUAGAUUAACAGUUUACGAUAUGAUUCAUACGACCGUAAAAUAUUACUCUCCUCCAUAGAAACUGACGUUAGUUAAACCAUUUUUUGCCCUACAAUACGCAAGUUUUCCUGUUUUAUUAGGCCAGUAGCAAGUUUCUUUGUUUGUAAUUGGAGCAAGUAGUAAGUUAAUUAUUUACUUUUAGGCUAAUAAAAUAGAGUCGUAAGCUAUAUAGUUUAUAUUAUUACUGAGCUUUCUAUGUUGUUGCUGGCCGUCUCCCAAAUUUAAAAAUAAUUACCAUGCAACGCAAUUGGAUAACUCACCAGUUUGUCCUAACCAAUCGCACAAAACUUUGAAUUCAUUUUGUUUUAUAAAAAAAAUGACAAAUAAAAAUAGAAGGUAUAGGGCAAGUCGUCAUCAUCAAUCCAAAGACCGGGGGCUGCCCAUGCAAGGGGUUUCUAGACCAACACCACAGUCCACAACCCUUCCUAAUUCCUUAAAAUGGUUACCUAACAAGCAUCGAAACCAUCUGCUAGCUACUAGCUACUAGCUUAGCUAGGAUAUGUAAAGAUCAUACGUAUGAUGAAAACUACAACUACGUCCCAACAAGAAGAUAGAAACUUAUAACCGAGCGAUUAUAAUGACGAUAUUUCGAGUUAAUUACGUACCGUUAUAUGUUUUAGCUAUUUAAAAAGUAAGACAGAUGACUAGUUUUAAAGAACAAGAGCACUAGACCUAACUAAACAUCAUUCGCGUUCCUAUAUUUCAAUAUAUGACCAGUAGCAGUGCUACAAUUCAAUAUUUGACACGAUAAUUAGUUCAAGAAGCUUCUAACCUCCCAACCUCCAACUACGUGCCAUGCCCUACAACCCUUAGGGAUCAAGACUCAACAUUGGACAAUAUUAGUAAAACACAAAGCAAGUGGGGUCAUUUACACAAAUUGAUCCCUUCCUCUCCCUCCCUCUCUCUCUCUCUCUCUCUCUUCUUUAAUAUCUCUCGCCCAACUUUGAUACUGUAUGAUUUUCUUAGAAUAUCGCCACAAAGAUUAGUAAAAGGUAAAACGUAAGCAUUCAGGUCAUUUGAAAAAUUGACCCUCUUUUACUCUGCAGAUUUUGCUUGAAAUAUCACUACAAUAACAUCAUGUUGCAUGAAAGCCCCUCUCCUACAACAACUCCACCCAUUCAAGACUCCAUAUCAUUGGAUUCCAUUUGCAACACCAGAUGAUAACAACACAUGGCUGUGGGGACUGGCGAUCAGUAGAAAGUUAGAAACCGUGCUUAUAAGUUAUAAUCAUGGCUGGCUGGCUGGGGUUGGUGAUUGUAAUAAUUAGCAAGUUUGGUGAAACUUUGUAAUGGAACUUCAACUCAUCAGUAUCAUCCUGCGUAAUGUUAGGUAGACUAAAAUUUUAAACUAAAUUUGUUAAUCAUAUGACGUAUCAUUAAUAUAAAAUAAACAUAUUAAUUAACACUUAAGUAAUAAUCCAAUCAUAAAAACUUUGAAACUGAUGAAAAUAAGAAAUGGAGACAGACGACGAGCUCACGCUGAAAACAACGUCGCAUUUAGUAUGGUGUGUGUGGUGGUGGUGGGACACUUGGGGGUUUUGAGUGCAAAGACCCAAUAUUCUAAUUCCUCCACUUCGACCAAGUAUUGUUGCUUUACCUAAUAGCCAUGAAUCAAUUCUUAUUUUUUUAAAUUUUUUUUGCUCAAAAAUCAAUUCUGAUAUUCCAUUCCCAAAAUAUCAUGAUUCGAUUCUUAAAUUCCAUUUCCAAAACAUGAGUCAACCUCUCAACCAUCAAUAGCCUUGUGUUUGUGUGACACAAAUCUACCUUUCAUUGCCCUUGUGUUUAUAUGCUUUACGCACUUGGAUAUGGACGACUUCUCUACAUGAUGCAUAUUCCUUUGUUUCUAUGACAUGCUUGCAGCACAAGUAAGUGUUUUUUGUACUCUCUCGUUUUUCUCCUACAUUUUUUUUAACUUUAAAAUUGAAUAAACUAAAGAAAAAUUAACAAAGAAAAGGAAAAGAUGGAAUGCAGAAGAAUAAUGUUUGCACAUAAGGUUCAAUUAAAUCUGUGGGAUGUUGAAGUGGUGAAGGUGAAUGAGGAAAUAUGUCCGUAUCAAACUAGAUCAAAGGUUCGAUUCCCCUUUCUAUUUACAAAAUACCAAUUUAAGAGAAUGGCUAGAGGUUGACAAUUAUUUGUGUUCGGAUUUACCCUUUUAUAUCCAUGUAGUGUUCAUAUCAAUCAAUCAUGUUUACAGGCACACCAAAUAAUGAUAUAAUGGAAGCUGCUAUUAACACUAAUAUCACAUGCACUCCUCCCUCAUAAAAUAAAUAAGGAAUGAAAGUAGGCAUAAUGGUGCUAAUAAUCAUUCUCUAGCACAAAUAAUUCAUACUAUUCAUUAGAAAAACAAUAAAAAUAUUUGGUUUCGCUAGCAUUAUCGCAUAAAAAUAACUCAUGCUUAGGUUAACAAUUCAUAAUAUUAAGGGAAUUUUAACGAAAAACUCAUUAGAAAAACCAUAAAAAUAUUUGGUUUCGUUAGCAUUAUCGCAUAAAAAUAACUCAUGCUUAGGUUAACAAUUCAUAAUAUUAAGGGAAUUUUAACGAAAAGCUCUUAGUACUGUUCACUUUAACGAAAAAUCACAUUUUUACACUAAAAAAUUAAUCCUGGUACUAUUCAUUUUACCCUUUAUUUUGUUUAAAACUCAAAGUUUUCAAAUCAUUUUAAUUAAUUUUUCUUAAUAUUAAACACUGAAGUAACAUUAAAUCAACAUCUAAUAAGAUAAAUUCAAUAAUUAACAUGACAUUUACUUCAAAUAUUUUCUUUAAAAAUUGUUAGUUAUUUACAUAAACUCCUAUAUUUUUGUGCCAAUUUCGAGUCGUGUUCGAAUUCGCAACUCCUACCCUAGAUCUCAUGCCAAUGGAUAGACAUCCACAUAUUCAAUAGUAAAAGCACACCGACUGACAGACUGUCAUAAUUUUUAAGUUCUCACUAUCUUGGAUCAUCCAAAAGAACACAAAAAAAUAAUGGAGAUGGAUUGUCUGCCCUCCCCUCCUCAUACUCUUUUUAUGCUCUCUUGUUUUGUUCGGUCGCGGUUAAGUUACGUUAACAUUUUAUAUUAAUUUUUUUAUAAAAAUAAUAAGAUAAAAAGCAAAACAUUUUGUACGGUCACGCUCGUGACCGUACAAAACAAGAAGAUAUGAAGAAUAUACGGAAAAAAAGAGAGCAGACAAUUCUUCUCCAAAAAUAAUAGCCCGCGUUAUCCUUGUCAAUGACUUAUUAUCUUCGCAACAAAAAUAGUACCCAAGGUUGUACUUACUAAAUUUAUAUACAUACUUUAUGUGCUACCCCAAAAAUAGGUAGAAGAUGACCACGCUGAGAAAAUAUCAGACCGACCACAUGAAAUUUAUAGAAAAAAAACGUGUGUUAGCUUUUGACUUACGGCCUCAUGUUUCAUGUGAUCGAAAGCUCCAACCGACUCGAACCACAACGUGCAGAACCCGGACUACUACUGUCAAUGAUCCGGUGGAGACGCGUACGUCUAGGGUUUGAGUCAAAUUUGAAAUUAAGACAGUAUCAGCUUUUCAUGCACUGAGAAGGACUGCUGGACUAAUUAGUCCGUUCCGUGUUGGAGACGAGAGAGCAUGUUUAAAUUUAGUCACUUGAAAUAAAGACAGUAUCAGAUUUUCAUGUGCUGAGAAGGAUUCCUGGAUUAAUUAGUCCGUUCCGUGUAGGAGACGAGAGAUCGUAUUUAGAUUAGUCGUUUCAGUCCAUUGUCCUGAAAUGAUAAACGAUGUGACUCUUCCUAAUUAUUCCAAUCCCAAGCCAAAUUGCCAUCUACCAAACAACUAAUAAGCACUUUAAAAGUUAAACAUCCUGUCAACAUCUGCAAAAAGACUUUGAGCACAAAGUGCCUCUAGACGUUGGAAACUUAGACGUGUAGAAAGGUUAAUGCUAGAUCAACAAUAUUUAGACCAAAUUUUGUAAAUCAUAUGACGUGAUUGUUGAUGAUUAGAGUAUUACUUAAGUGUUGAUUAAUGUAUUUUUUUUUCUUAUUGGUGAGACAUCAAUGAUUUGUAAAUUUAACCUAAAAAGUUGAUUUACCUAACUAGCAUUACUCUGUGUUAAAAUAUACACGCUUGCACAAACAAGUUCGUGUUAUGUAUUAUAUAGGUGGAAAUAUGAAUAGAAGGCAUGGAGAACAAACCGGAGCAUUUUGGGCUUCAAUUUGUAUUGAUCCCUACUAUCUUCAAAAUUCAAUUGUGUGAAAACACUCUUCCAACAAUCCAAAUCUUGGCAUUGGGCCAUAUAUUUUUGUAAAGAGACUUUCGGACUCUUUUUUUUGGCAUGCAUUUCUACCUCUUGGACAAAAUUGAAAAAAUGAAGGAGAGCCGAGGGACGAAAACUAGAAGAGAAGCGCUUAAAGAGAAAAUAAAAGUGCAAAAAUCAAUAUCCAUACAGUUCUUUAUGGUCCAAUUGAAAAAUAAUUUUCACCCAUCCAUUGAUUCUCCUUUGAAUUUUUGCAUUUGUCGGCAAAAUAUGAACAAACAAAAGUGUGCAAUGGAAGAAAAUGAAUGCUUUUGAGCCAGGCCGGAGCAAAAAGAGCGAUCAAAAGGGCCCAACACAAAGAAAAUAAAGAACAUAACCAAAGGAAGGUUUCUUGAUUUUGUUUAGAUUUUUUUUUAUUUCCUAUUCUAUUUUGGUAAGUCUUUUCUUUCCUUUUAGAAAACGGAUUUUGAUUCACUUCUUUCAACUACGACAGAAAUUAUAUCUUUCCUAUUCCAUCACGAUUUUCUUACAUUUCCUAUUGUCCAAUUUUCUUGCCAAUGAGCAUGUAAAAGGAGAAGGCUAUAUAUACAAGAAAAAACAGAGACAUUCGACUCUGUCGGAUUCAAGGAAAUCAUGACAGCCAAUAUUGCUUGGCUGAAGAAGUUUAGACUGAGACAACGCCCCAAGAACACCAAGUUAACUGACUUACCUUUUGACAUCCUCGUCAACAUCCUUAAGAGACUGCCUGUAAAAUCACUUUCGAUGUGUAUCCGAGAUCUUCAAGAACAUAUUGUCAACAUGCAGUUGUCUCAGAGCUUGAGUUCAAGAGUUUCAGUACUUGAUGUUGAACAAAAAUUGUACACAAUAUGUAAACAAAUAAUUCACUCGACACAAUUUCCCCUUAUUCAUUUUUCGAAGAGGGUUUUAUUAAAUUAAGUUCGACCAAUUCUAGGCUACGUGCCUAUUAAUUACAACCCUUCUUUUGGAAAAGGAAUAUCCUUUGAUUCCAAUAUGAAUAAAUCGUAACUUGGGGGUUUGGAUGUUUAUUUGAUAUUGUAAUUGUACCUAGGUAGAACCCUAGAUUGCCUACGUACCCUCAUUGAGGGAUUAAGUCACUCGUAGUUCUUUAUGUAUUUGUUGGGGUUUGAUGCCUUGUGUAGUUUCAGCUCAUGCAGGCAAUGAGCGUUUGAUGCCUUAUGCAAUUUAGGCUCUUGUAGGUGAGGACUUCAAGUCACUUGGAGCUUUUGAUGCCUUGUAUAGUUUUAGCUCAUGUGGGCGAGGACUUCGAGCCAUUAAAGCAAUUGGUGCCUCAUGCAGUUUAAGCUCGUGCGGGCGAGGACUUUGAGCCAUUGGAGCAUUUGAUGCCUUGUGCAAUUUUAGCUCGUGCGGGUGAGGACUUUGAGCCAUUGGAGCAUUUGAUGCCUUGUGCAGCUAAAGGCAGUUUUAGCUCGUGUAGGCGAGGACUUUAAGCCAUUGGAGUAGUUGAUGCCUUAUGCAGUUUUAGCUCGUGCACGUGAGGACUUUGAGCCAUUGGAUCAUUUGAUGCCUUGUAUAGUUUUAGCUCAUGCGGGUGAGGACUUUGAGCCAUUGAGCCAUUGGAGCUUUUGAUUCCUUGUGCAGUUUUAGCUCGUGCAGGCGAGGACUUUGAGCCAUUGGAACUGAAUACAACUUGGUGCCAUUUGAGAUUUGAUGGGGCUUUGUGCCAUUUAAAGUGACUUUGUGCCAUUUGACCACUUCAAUAAUUAAAGGGAAUUUGAUCCAUGGCGUGAGUUUCACUAAUUUGAAGUGGUGAGUCCAUCGAGUUUUGUACUUUGAGAUGGUUCGCAUCCACAGUAUUGAAGUGGUUCAAAGUUGUCUAUAUUUGUAUUGCUUUUGUCCUCCACUUUGCUCCGUGUCUUGAUUUGAUCUUGGCCCAAAGAUUAACAGUGACCACCCAAAAGAUUUUGAAGACAAGUAUUAAUUCAAUCAUGCCCAUGAAUUAAUGCAAGCCAUAAGUUGCGCGGGUUUGUCCUUGUGGGAUCAAACCAACCUUCAACUAAAGUUAUGACAAACUUUGUCUCUUCACCUACUUAAUUGCUUGCUGGACGUCUUUAUUUCAAUUCCUAACUUAAGAAUUUGAAUGAAACUUGGUCAGCAACUAUACUAAUUUUGGUGCACCUUGAGCUGAGCGUAUCCUUCAAAGCUAGCAACAAGCUUCUUUUUCGGACAAUUAUAUGGUCAACUUUGUGCGUUAGUGCAAUGGUGGGCUUCGAGCUUUGCUUUCGAGACUUCCGUCAUGAUUUGGAGAGGACCAUGAAAUUAAUCCAUUGCUUUCCUUGUUUACAUUUUUCUAUACAUGUGAUUGGGUAUAAACGAGGGAAUAUGAGUGUGGAAUUUAGCGGUUUUAUACCUCUUGAUAUUUGAUAAGGCUUCGUGCCAUUUGGGAUUUGAAUAAUUAAUAGGUAAAUGACCCAUUAAUUAGAAUUUGAGUAUAACGAUCUAGAAGGGUUUUAGAGCCACGUCGCAUUCAACUUUUUUAAAAGGGAACUUGAUGGUGCUUUGACUUGUCUUGUUGCACUUCUUUUUCUCCUCCUUUUUUUUGUUUGGUGUUGAUGAGAUGGGAUUGCCCAUUUUUUCUUCCUUGCUUUUCUUUGUCUUGGAACCCUUAUAAGUUUGUCUCCAUCUCAUCUUUUUUUCGUUCUUCAUAUAAGCAACAUUCCUUAUAAAAUUAGGAACUUUGUUGCGUGAGCAGCAUCCAUUAAAUGGAAAUCUAGGAACUGUGCUUUGCAGACUCCUCUUUUACUAUUUGAAGAAUUUGUAAUUACUUGGUCAAAGUAGCAGGAGUGAAUUUAGUUUAUAUAAACCAGGGAUUCAUUCUGGUUUCAUGGUUGCGUCUAAAAUUUGAUAUCAGACUACCUACGUAUCCUUAACGGAAUCAAACCAGUGUAGUUCAUGAAAUAUUUGAUUUGGAUUUGUAGACUUGUGUUCAGACUUGGCAAAAUGAAAAGCCAAUUGGAUUUAUUUAAAACCCAUAUAUGACCUUCGGUAAUCACCUAAUAGGCUUUGUGAAAUACGACUUUGAUUGGUCUUUUCCUUAAGUAGCUCAGGACUUGAACACAUAAAGUUGGACUCCAAGUCCCACGUGAGAUGCACGGUUCAGUCUUUUCCAUAAGUAGCUCAGGACUUUGAAGACAUAAAGUGGGACUCCAAAUCGCACGUGAGAUGCACAGUUCAAAAACCCAAUCAGAAAUAUUCCCUGCUCCAGUAUUUGUUUCUCUAAAUAGCGAUGUCGAUAUACUCGAGCUCCCCGUUGAUUUCGCAAUGUUUUUUUUUUUGAAAUUCCUUUUGAGUUUGUUAGCCGUUGAAUUCCAAAUAAAGAUGGGUAAGAUUGAUGGAGUUCAAACUCUUUUGAAUUGCUCCAAAUUAUCCUCUUUUCCUCCUAAACCGUUGCUUGUGCUCCUUUUGUGGAUCGAAAAUUUCAAAACGAAAAAGAGAAGAAGAUAACCAGCAAGUGACCCCAUUUUCAUUUUCUGUGUGUCUGAAUUUGAUUCGGACUGGGUUGAAGCUCUGAACUGCAACUGAUUGGUUUAAUUAUUUCGUGCAGGUGUCACUGGCAACAACAUCUCUUCAAUUUGGUUGUUGCUGUGUCCUUUAGGUAAUAAGCUUCAUUGGGUUGUAAAAACCCUCUUUUUGUGUACUGGUAGAUGAUAAACCCAAUUUGAUGUUGGUAGUUUUCGUAGUCUAAAUUUAUUUAACUUUUCGUUUAUCAUGAGUAGCUUUCAGUACCAGUUUGACUUGAUUUUUGACAUGGUUGUUGGACAAACUAUUUUGCAGCAUUGAGUUCGUUGAAAACAAGCGUUGAUUCGUGACUCCAAAGGUGAGAAUUGCACUCAUUGUGUCUGCCAUAUUUUGAAUGAGUCUUGAUGUAUUAGUGUCUGAUUAUCACUUUUUGACAUCACCGUUUUCUCCUUAGAGAGUCAUGUGACUUGGUUUGGUCAGUAGGCAUUAGACGCUUUUUUUUUUUUCCAUCUAUGUGUUUCCUUCUAUGCUGAAUCAGAAAAGAAAUAGGCAUUAUGCCUUUUCCAUUUGAAUGUCAUGUGAGUGGCUUUAUGAUAUCCAUGUUUAUGGUAAUUUGAUCAUGCUCGCUAUUCUUUCUCAUCAGCAUUAGUCAUUCAUAACAUUUUGUCCUUUCAUUUUGGAAUCCAUCAACAUAACUUGGAUUUUUUGAGCUUUUGCAGAUAUAUAACAUCAAGGCACUUUGAAUUCUUUUAUAUUCUUGUCCCAUGCCUUACCUUUCUUUUUUGGUAAAGUCUCAUGCUUUGACUUUGGUCCAUCUUUGAAACACUAUGCAAACAUCAUCCCAAUAUAUUUUGCUGGAACUUUACGAAUAUAAAGGGAGACAUCAUCAUUUUCAAUUUCUCAUUUUUUUCUUGGACUCUUAUCCCAAGUGGGUUUUCAUGGAAUUUUAUGCAAUGGCAUCCUUCGUGUCUUGUACCCGUGAGUAGCAAAGAAAACGCGAAAGAUUUACAAAAAAUUUCUUUGCUCUCGAGUUGCAUGUUGGUAUAUGUUGCUCUCUUGUUGUUUUUCUUCACAGAGACCAAGCAUAAGUCGGUCAAGGGGAACAAAAGUUGCAUUUUGGCUUCUUUUGAUCCAUAAAUGCACCUAUUUUCUCAUUGGACUACAAAGAAUGACUUUGCAUAUAAAACUUGGCUUCCUAUGUCUGCUUCCUUAGCUUGAUUUUUGACAAAUGGCAUUUAGAAUGAUCCUUUGUUGUUUUCAAGUCUCUUUAACUUUACCUAACAUAAUAACCACAUUACAUGAUAACCACAUUAUGGCAUUCAUGUUAUCUAGAAGACUUUUCUUCCUUCUCCUCCUCUAGAGUAAUCUUUAAAGUCUAGAAUGCCAGCAACGUGUUGAUUGGAACUUCAUGGGGGUGGUUUAGACCAUCCCGAAGAAAUUCAUGGGAUUGACGGCAGCGGCGGGAAGCAGAACUUGUGUGUUUUUGUUCUUUUUAGAUUUAGGCAAAAAGAUAACAUGUGGCUGCUACCAUUUUUGGACUGCUUUGUGUUGUUGUUGCAGGUAUAGAGGAAUACAGGGCUACCAUUUAAGAAACCCUCAUUGCAUAGAAACCUUUUAUGGUGGCUUGUUGGCAAUUUUAUUGUAUAAACUGAAGGUUACAGGUUCUAGGUAGUUGAUUAUGCCCUUUUUUUUUACCCCACUUUUGUCUGCAACACAACAUCAAACAAGAGAAAUAAAUAAUUUAACAGGACUUGUUUCAUACCUGGUGAUGAAUGUUCUUCUUUGGAUCUUGACUCGAAAGCACAAAUGGUUGAACUCCUUGUUCUCUUUUGUGGCAGCACUUCGUUGCUUUUGGUAUUUUCUCUCAAAGUUUCUCUUAUUUUCUGCAGAGUAUCUUCUCUCUUUUUCUGUGUCUACCCUUCUUACUGCAAUUGAUGCCUAUUUAUAGACAUAUUAUAAGGGCUCUAGAGCUUUAUGUGGGGGGAGAUAGAGGCCAUGUCUUCAUCCACUUUCUCUUAACCUCUCUUACUGACUCCACGUUCUUUUGUUGCAGAAAAUGGGGAGCCCCUGUUUUGCACGCUACUUCCCCCUUUUGUAGGAAGGAAUUCAUAUCUUAUUUAUUAUUAUUUAAUUUAUUUAUGGAUGUUUGAUUUGUAUGUAAAGCCUAUUCUCAUCUUUUGGGCUGAAUUACUUUUUUAUUUUACUUUGUAGUUUCACCCAAUUUGUACGGGCUCUAUUUUUUUUUAUAUGUUAUAUAUUUUUGUUGUUCAACACUUGGAUCAGUCAACAAUUUGUUUUCUGCAACUUGUUUUGCUUUAAAGUGAGAACUGUGAAAACCCGUACUGCAUCUUAUUUGAUCCUUUUAAGGGAGAAGUUCUACCGCUCUCGGUGGGUGACGUCCAAGUACCCGAAGAACACUGUAUAUAUGACAAGUAUGGUAUGGGAUUUGAUGAUUUAACCAGCACCCAUAAAGUGAUUCGUGUUUCUGCAGAUAUCUAAAAGAAUAUGGUAGCCCUAGUUCUUGUCUUGGGCACAAACUCGUGGCGGAAGAUACACUCGGUUCCUCCUCAUCAUAUAAGCUCAUCAACAAGCUUAUUAUCUGCAAACGGAGACAUGCAUUGGUUGAUUCAUUUGGCCGCCGACCAAUUCUCAAGUAAAAGAGAAAGCUGUAUAGUUUCUUUCGACUUCAAGACAGUUGAGAUAUGCGCCUAUUUAUUCUGAAUUCACGCGUCCACUCUUUCCUUUCAUUUGCACCAAUAUCUCCACAUCCUAUUCAAUCAAGCAAUAUGCGCCUAUUUAUUCUGAGAGGAUGCAUGGCAUUUAUGGCCGUCAGAGGUAAGCAUGUUGAGAUAUUGGUGCUGAAAAACUAUGAAAGGAAAGAAUGGACGCGUGAAUACACCAUAAAUCUUCUGGUUCAUGAUCAUACGCUCAAGAACCAUCCGCGGAUUGCUAAUUGUGGUCAGUGGGAGCAUGGCAUUUUUUUCUUGGAUUCUCAUAACAAUGCAUUAUUUUUCGAUGUAAGGUGUCCGUUCCCUAAAACAUGUGACAUAUCCAAUGUUAUUUCCUAGAGACCCAUCCCUCAAACACUAUGGCAAUGUGAUUGACCAAGAACAAGUGUCUUCCGGUAUUGAUUUGGAAUCCAGCGAGUUCGAAUGGACUUUCAAGAAAAAUGUUGUCCAAUCAGAAGAACAUCACUGGAAGCGUAAAGUUUUUCAACAAAUUGUGGAAACAUUCUUGAACAGAAGGAAGGAGUAGGAAUAAUUUCUUUUAUCUUGAGAAGGUGCACGAGGCUAAGGCUUCAAUGUUCCGCGAGAGGAAGUUUCUUUUUUUGUUGUGGCAUUUGACUGAUUGUACUUUCUUAUUUUUUUUCACCGAAAAUUGUCAUUCGGAACGAUUCCCUAUACAAAUUUUCUUUCGUGCUUUUAAUAAAUUUAGAGUGCUAAUAACAACUGUAUUGUUUUGUUGUUUGAUGUUGUAUUGCUAUAUAUUUAUAUUGUUUUUCUUUGAAUUUUGCUUCAAACAAAGUAAGGGAGACAAAAUGUAAACAAAUCAAAGGACCCAAAAAAUACACACAGCAGGGUAAAGAUCAAAGGAAGUCAGCAUGAGGAAAAAUAAACACCCGAAAAACAUAUCAGAAUGCGCCAACGACCUGUAAAUACGAAUUAACUGACCCAUCGAUGAACAAGUCUACGGAUAUAAAUAUAUGCAAAACGUGAGAACAAGCUUCAACAUAGGCUGGAAAUGCUCGUCUCCAUAAGAAUUAAUGCCAUUAGAUGAGAACCAACGUAAACAUUAGAUUGACGAGAACUCGGACCGACACGAGUUCAAAAUUGACAUGAAUCUGAGACCUAUACAAGUUCAAUGUAUGCCAUGGGUGCAUUGUCCCCUCGCCUAGGCAGAGUUCUGAUGAUUCUUGUAUAGCCACCAUUCCGCUCCCCAUAUCUGUCGGGUACCUCAGCAAACAAAGCAUGGACGAUCUGUUUCUCAUAGAUAUAUCCCAGCGCCUGUCUCCUCUUAUGGAGAGAUCCAUCCUUGGCCAGUGUGAUCAUCUUGUCCACGUACUUCCUCAUGGCACUUGCCCUUGCUCGAGUCGUUUUGAUGCGUCCAUGUUUAAGGAGCUGAGUAGUGAGGCCUCGAAGAAGGGCUUUCCUCUGGUCUGGAGGCCUGUUGAGCUUAGGAACUUUCCUGCCAUGUCUCAUGGCAGAGACACGACCACCAUUGUCAAUGAUGGUGAAGUUGUGUUCAAAACACAUGGACUCUGUGAGAAGACAGAAAAAAGCAUGAAGGUCCUGCCAACACAGACACCAAAUGACAGAGAACAUAUCUAAACAGAAACGUGACAGUAAACAAUCUGAUGAAAGUAAGACAAACAAAAUCCACAAUGCAGUGCAGUAUGGAUUUCACGUUUCAGAAGUCCCAAAACCAUCUAAACAGAAACGUGACAGUGAAUAAUCUCUGGAUGAAAGUCAGAUAAACAAAAUCCACAUUGCAAUGCACUAUGGAUUUCCCAUUUCGGAAGUCCCAAAACCAUCUAAACAUAUCUAAACAAAAAACGUAAACGAAAAACAAAAAACGAAAUGGCUGUCAAACGAGCCUUAAAAAGUAAAGAAUGUGUUGCUACAGAUGCAAUUGAAGUUCCGUGAAGUAAACUGAACAUAUACAAAGAUACAAGGCUGAACUCAAAUAAUGCACAAAGAUACGAAAUUUAACUGCAAUAAUCCACAAACACACCAAAUUGAACAGAACCAAAGCACAAAAGAUACCAAAUUGAGCUGAAAUAAUACACAAAGAUACAUAAUUGCACUCGAAAAUACGAACCCAGCUGCCGCCAUUGAUAAUUACAGGAGAUAAUUCAGCAACAAAAGGAAACGGUAGUGACGGAGAAGAGAGUGGUACCCGAGAGGCCGAGGGAGAGGAGCGGGUUAAGGGGAGAGAGACCCGAGAAAGACCCGAAUUGGAACUCGGGUUUCCGGAGACCGACGCUGAGGCGGAGGCUCCGAUGCCUGCACGGUGCCGAAGAAGAAGAAGCGGUAGGAAUGGUGCACCUCUCCGGCAGGGAUGGAAGCGCCGCCUUCAGAGACGCCAUGCUCCAUCUGCUGCAUUCUGCUGACCCGGUAGCCGUUGCCAAUGCCAUUGUCACCGCCAUUUCAAAACCAUACAACAAAAUCUCUGGCUCUGCUCUUCCUAUUUUGUUCCUCCUUAUCUACGAGGCUACGAGCCGUGGGUUCUGGGUUAGUGGGUUGGGCUUGGGUUUUCCUAUGGGCCCAAAAUUCAGUCCUUAAAUUUGGGCCUCUUUCAACUUUUGCCCCAACUAGGCCCAAU